Molecule: long non-coding RNA, 378 nt
Organism: Morone saxatilis (striped sea-bass)
Lineage: Eukaryota; Metazoa; Chordata; Actinopteri; Moronidae
Exons: 2
Source: RefSeq, a predicted model, not a curated record
CCACCACUACUACAGCUGCACCAGCCACGGGUACUACAGCUGCAUCAACCACAACCACCACUGCCACCACCACUACACGUACACCCUCUACCACCGAGUCCGUGGGGGAAGGUUCGUCUGGGCUCUCAUCUGGGGCUAUAGCCGGUAUUACCAUUGGCUCUAUCGCUGGGGUGGCUGCUGUUGGUGGCGGAAUCUUUGGCAUACUAAAGUACACUGGGAAGAUCUAAGACCAAUUAUUGCCCAGCGAGGGUAUAAAUGGUCAUGGAGUGUGAGCACAAACAACUGCCAUCUUAAAGGCAAACAAUCAAAUCCUGACCCUGUUAACUGGACAAUGAAAAAUCCUACUGUACUGUCUGAAAGGCUCAUAUCAGAAUACAU